CUUGAGCGACCCGAGCCGCAGCGGUUCCUGCCUCCCGCGGCCGUAGGUGGCCAGGAUCGCCUGGGCCUC
This 69-nucleotide antisense RNA is filed under the name Streptomyces sp. VN1. RNAcentral's name for it is "ASpks TB sRNA". It matches the Rfam family "ASpks TB sRNA". Lineage: Bacteria; Bacillati; Actinomycetota; Actinomycetes; Kitasatosporales; Streptomycetaceae. The record is from Rfam by way of RNAcentral.